CCCAGGGAGGAGGACUGAAAAUGCCCAAGGUCCUGGAUUCAUUCAACUUCUUCCACAAAUAUCUGGGAUGGUGAAGGGACCCAAAAUCAAGAACCUCCAGAUGAAAGCCAGCCAACCUGACAUUACAACCUUGGCCCUAUCAGGCACAGGAGAGCAGAGAACCCAGGCACACCCUGCAGGACUUCUGACCUACAGAACUCUAAGCUAGAAGGGCCCUUUCUGUCAGUGUAACGGUGAGAUGCUUCUAUUCCUGCAGAGGUCAUUGGUGUGGAGGUACCCACUGCAGUGGUGUGAUUAUCUGCCCCCAAGAGACUAUGGAUCCAGGAAGAUCACAAAAUACCAAUGUGAGCAUUUCAAAGGCUGGGAGAAUGUGUCAUCCAGCAAAUGCCCAGCAUUCAUCACACAGAAUGCUUGAUAAAGUGAUUAAUA
Molecule: long non-coding RNA, 429 nt
Organism: Phyllostomus hastatus (greater spear-nosed bat)
Lineage: Eukaryota; Metazoa; Chordata; Mammalia; Chiroptera; Phyllostomidae
Exons: 3
Source: RefSeq, a predicted model, not a curated record